UAGAGUUUGAUCAUGGCUCAGGAUGAACGCUAGCGGCAGGCUUAACACAUGCAAGUCGAGGGGUAACAGGGGAAAGCUUGCUUUCUUGCUGACGACCGGCGCACGGGUGCGUAACGCGUAUGCAACCUACCUUCUACAGGGGGAUAGCCCAGAGAAAUUUGGAAUAAUACCCCAUACGAUCAAUGAUUGGCAUCGAUUAUUGAAGAAAACUCCGGUGGUAGAAGAUGGGCAUGCGUCCUAUUAGUUAGUUGGUGAGGUAACGGCUCACCAAGACAUCGAUAGGUAGGGGCCCUGAGAGGGGGAUCCCCCACACUGGUACUGAGACACGGACCAGACUCCUACGGGAGGCAGCAGUGAGGAAUAUUGGACAAUGGAGGCAACUCUGAUCCAGCCAUGCCGCGUGCAGGAAGACUGCCCUAUGGGUUGUAAACUGCUUUUAUACAGGAAGAAACCUGCUUACGUGUAAGUAGCUGACGGUACUGUAAGAAUAAGGAUCGGCUAACUCCGUGCCAGCAGCCGCGGUAAUACGGAGGAUCCAAGCGUUAUCCGGAAUCAUUGGGUUUAAAGGGUCCGUAGGUGGUUAAUUAAGUCAGAGGUGAAAGCCAGCAGCUCAACUGUUGAACUGCCUUUGAUACUGAUUAACUUGAGUUAUUGUGAAGUAGUUAGAAUAUGUAGUGUAGCGGUGAAAUGCAUAGAU
This 697-nucleotide ribosomal RNA is filed under the name uncultured bacterium. RNAcentral describes it as "bacterial SSU rRNA". It matches the Rfam family "Bacterial small subunit ribosomal RNA", at positions 1 to 695 of the family's 1533-position model. The record is from RNAcentral.